This 280-nucleotide signal recognition particle RNA is filed under the name Callithrix jacchus (white-tufted-ear marmoset). RNAcentral describes it as "Metazoan signal recognition particle RNA (ENSCJAG00000082227.1)". It matches the Rfam family "Metazoan signal recognition particle RNA". Rfam says of the family: The signal recognition particle (SRP) is a universally conserved ribonucleoprotein. The record is from Rfam by way of RNAcentral. Lineage: Eukaryota; Metazoa; Chordata; Mammalia; Primates; Cebidae.
GCUGGGCAUGGUGGCGCGUGCCUGUAAUCCCAGCUACUUAGGAGGCUGAGGCAGGAGAAUUGCCUGAACCCAGGAGGCGGAGGUUGCGGUGAGCCGAGAUCGCGCCAUUGCACUCCAGCCUGGGUAACAAGAGCGAAACUCCGUCUCAAAAAAAAAAAAAAAAAAAAAAAAAAAAAUUUUUUUUUGAGACAGUCUCGCUCUGUUGCCAGGCUGAAGUGCAGUGGCGUGAUCUCGGCUCACUGCAACCUCUGCCUCCUGGAUUGAAGCGAUUCUCCCACUU